This is a long non-coding RNA of Ricinus communis (castor bean), 900 nucleotides long. RefSeq lists it as uncharacterized. The transcript has 2 exons. The record is from RefSeq and is a predicted model, not a curated record. NCBI's taxonomy places the organism in Eukaryota, Viridiplantae, Streptophyta, Magnoliopsida, Malpighiales, Euphorbiaceae.
AAAUAUUUUGUUUGGUCAACAGCAAUAUAUUCACACGAUGAAGGAAGCCAGACGCGGACAAGCCAAUUGGCUGAGUUGGAAGGCCGUCAUCACGCCUACUUGGUAAAACUCAUGGAUAAUGUCAUAUAAAAGGCAAGGAUUGGUUUGGUUAGGUAUGUAUUCCUGUUCUACACAAAACAGUAAACUGAAAACUCCUCUCGCUCGCUGGUUUCCAGUUUAAUUUUUAAGGCUGUAUUGAAUUCUUUUCAAGACAAAUCAAUUCUCCUUUGGCAAACGCAAGUUUUGCUUUUUUCGGUAUUCAAUUCUCGAUAUUGCCCCAUUUUUGCUUCUCUUGCGUUCUUCUAGCUGCAGAUCUUUUUCUCCCCGGACAGAAAGAGGAGUUUUAGCUGCAAUUCUUACAGAUUAAAAAGAAGAUCAUGGGUCACCACCACCAUCACCAUCAUGGAGACAGCCCAUAUGAUGAUCCAUUUUUGGCAUGUUGUUGCUGCCCUUGCUUGCUUGUAUCUUCUAUUUUCAGGGGAAUUGGCGGUUGCAUAUUCGCGGUUUGUUACCCUUUCUUGCGGUGUUUUGGAUUGGACGAGAUCGGUCACCGUCACCACCACCACCACCACCACCACCACCAUUGCUGAUAAUCCCAGCUUGAAAAUUAUGUGAACUUGAAUGUCCUGGUGGAUCUAUUUAAUCUGCUCCUUUUCUUCCUUUUUCUCUUCUGGUUUUCAUUUUUCCCCAAAUUCUAUGUGGUAGAAAAUUUCAAACGCGAGACAGUUCUGGUGAUUUUCUGUGACUUCUGUUAAAUACUGCAGUGUCAUUGUUUUGGUGAAUCAUUAUGAUGUUGUAUUUUAGUGAAAGACAUUGAUGGGAUUCAAUUAAUAAUGUAGCAUCAUAGCUCAUUAUCCUUCU